UGACUGGAGGUCAGACUUGUGCUCUUCCGAUACAGCUUUUUAGUAUAAGGAUGCAACUUUACUUAGAGAGUAAAGUUAAAUAAAACCACAGGAGGCCUAAGAGCAGCCACCAAUUAAGAAAGCGUUCAAGCUCAACAACCCAACCCUCUUAAUUCCAAAAAUCUUAAACCAACUCCUAACGUUCUACUGCUAAUCUAUUUAAUAAUAGAAGCAAUAAUGCUAGUAUGAGUAACAAGAAACAUUUCUCCUUGCAUAAACAUAUAACAGUCAACAAAUAUCCACUAAUAGUU
Long non-coding RNA from Lutra lutra (Eurasian river otter), 290 nucleotides. RefSeq lists it as uncharacterized. Lineage: Eukaryota; Metazoa; Chordata; Mammalia; Carnivora; Mustelidae. The record is from RefSeq and is a predicted model, not a curated record. The transcript is spliced from 5 exons.